RNAcentral lists this ribosomal RNA (315 nucleotides) under Triticum aestivum (bread wheat). RNAcentral's name for it is "partial small subunit ribosomal RNA". The record is from RNAcentral. Lineage: Eukaryota; Viridiplantae; Streptophyta; Magnoliopsida; Poales; Poaceae.
AUGUUUCCAUUCAAGUUCAAGAGGAAGCAAUUUCCUGUAAGGCUUAGCUUUGCUAUGACGAUUAACAAGGCUCAAGGACAGACGAUUCCGAUCGUUGGCGUGUACCUACCUAAUCCGGUGUUCUCUCAUGGUCAACUCUAUGUCGCAUUGUCUCGAGCCACCACGAAGAGAAACAUAAAGAUCCUCAUUGAGAAGGAGAAAGAGAAGGAGAAUGGCAAGAAGCAAAGCAGUAAAUCAAAGAAGCGAAAAAGACCUGCCUUGUCCUUACAGACCUCGAUGAAGAACAUCGUCUAUAAGGAAGUCCUUACAGGCUGA